GACGAACGCUGGCGGCGUGCCUAAUACAUGCAAGUCGAGCGGACGGAUGGGAGCUUGCUCCCAGACCGUCAGCGGCGGACGGGUGAGUAACACGUGGGCAACCUGCCUGUAAGACUGGGAUAACUCCGGGAAACCGGGGCUAAUACCGGAUAACUCUUUCCCUCACAUGAGGGAAAGCUGAAAGAUGGCAUCUCGCUAUCACUUACAGAUGGGCCCGCGGCGCAUUAGCUAGUUGGUGAGGUAACGGCUCACCAAGGCGACGAUGCGUAGCCGACCUGAGAGGGGGAUCGGCCACACGGGGACUGAGACCCGGCCCAGACUCCUACGGGAGGCAGCAGUAGGGAAUCUUCCGCAAUGGACGAAAGUCUGACGGAGCAACGCCGCGUGAGUGAUGAAGGUUUUCGGAUCGUAAAACUCUGUUGUCAGGGAAGAACAAGUACCGGAGUAACUGCCGGUACCUUGACGGUACCUGACCAGAAAGCCACGGCUAACUACGUG
Molecule: ribosomal RNA, 498 nt
Filed under: uncultured bacterium
Lineage: Bacteria
Description: partial 16S ribosomal RNA
Rfam family: Bacterial small subunit ribosomal RNA
Source: RNAcentral